CGAACGACGGCCCAGGUGUUGCCAUCUCCUUAUCUUCGAUCCAACCCAUCUUCCCCUCGUAUCCUGUACUCCCGCACCCCCUCAUUCUUCUCUCCCGUGGCAGGGACCGACGAGUUGCAACGGACGGGGGGCAGUCCGGCUGCUGGCGUAAAGGACGACGGGUGGUGGUAGGGCCGUGGGAAGAGCAGGUAGACGGAGAAGGUUGCCUAUGGAAAUCUGGCAAGUGGCAGCGGCAUACAGACCAAGCGGGAAAACACCAGAAAUAAAUUCAACUUGGGGAAGAGAAUCACGAGGAUGAACUCCUCGGCUGCUUCUAGCGUGUUUUGUGGUGGAGGAACAUAGAAAUCUCCGUUUCCUCAUUACUUUAUUCCGAUGGUUUAUUUGCCAUACGUUACAUUGGCGAGAGAUUGGCGAGAGGUGGGUUACCAGAAGGAGGCGACGUUAAAAUCAGUGCCAGUGACGACGAUGAUGGACACGAUGAGCUUGGUUGGCAGUGGCCGCCGCAACAGUGUUGUACUCGGAGCCCAUGCUAUCCGAGCUCGACAAUACGAACAGCUCAGUCCUUUUGCAGCCGUGUUCAUCGACAAGUUGUCCAUACAGUACCUUGGCAUCAACAACCACGGCCAUGAUAGCGGAGUUGUGCUGGCCGACAGCCCUGCUACCAUGCGCCGAGCAGUCUACUGAUUUCAGAAGACCGUGAGGACUGCUGGGCUCAAGGGGUUGAAUCGGGUUCACCACAUGUGGUGGCAACCUGGGUUGGCACUCAUCUUGGAGCACAAUUAAAUGGAAAUCAGUAGCAAAACCACAAUCUGCAUAGUGACUUCAAUGGAGGUGCACCGGAUGAACCGGAGGUGAUCAUUUUGGACUGCACGGAUUUGGACUAUGCACGGAUGUCCUAAUUCUGUUAGGUCCAAUGGGCCCUGCUUAAUACAUCAAACAACCACAUUUUUUCAUGCAUUAUGAUGACUGAUCCUUGUAAACUGCAUUACAUAUAAUAUUUAUAAAGCUCUCUUCUUGUAACCAUUGUAUAUGCAUAAUCGAAAACCAACCCUUAAUUAGUGGCACAAACACACUGACAUCCAAAGAAUGGAUUAAGUGCUAGGGAGAAGGGAGGGCGAAGAUGAAGGCUCUGCUAUGUAGGUGGCCUUGAUGUAACUAGAGCAUUCUUUGGUCAUGUUAGAGACUUAUUAGUGAUAGAGCAGUAAAUUAUUUUGUUAGGAUAA
This is a long non-coding RNA of Triticum aestivum (bread wheat), 1223 nucleotides long. RefSeq lists it as uncharacterized. NCBI's taxonomy places the organism in Eukaryota, Viridiplantae, Streptophyta, Magnoliopsida, Poales, Poaceae. The record is from RefSeq and is a predicted model, not a curated record. The transcript has 5 exons.